UGGGCGUAAAGGGUGUGUAGGUGGCUAUGUAAGUCAGGUGUGAAAGCCCCGGGCUCAACCCGGGAAGUGCAUCUGAUACUGCGUAGCUUGAGUACCGAAGAGGAUAGUGGAAUUCCAGGUGUAGUGGUGAAAUACGUAGAUAUCUGGAGGAACACCGGUGGCGAAGGCGGCUAUCUGGUCGAGUACUGACACUGAGACACGAAAGCAUGGGGAUCAAACAGGAUUAGAUACCCUGGUAGUCCAUGCCGUAAACGAUGGGUACUUGGUGUUGGAGGUAUUGACCCCUUCAGUGCCGAAGCUAACGCGUUAAGUACCCCGCCUGGGGAGUACGGUCGCAAGAUUAAAACUCAAAGAAAUUGUCGGGGGCCCGCACAAGCGGUGGAGCAUGUGGUUUAAUUCGAUGCAACGCGAAAAACCUUACCUAGGCUCGAAAUGCAGUGGAAGACAGCAGAAACGUUGUCGUCUUCGGACCGCUGUAUAGGUGCUGCAUGGCUGUCGUCAGCUCGUGUCGUGAGAUGUUGGGUUAAGUCCCGCAACG
Molecule: ribosomal RNA, 538 nt
Filed under: uncultured bacterium
Lineage: Bacteria
Description: bacterial SSU rRNA
Rfam family: Bacterial small subunit ribosomal RNA
Source: RNAcentral